AGACAUUUGGUGUAUGUGCUUGG
RNAcentral lists this non-coding RNA (23 nucleotides) under Xenopus tropicalis (tropical clawed frog). Lineage: Eukaryota; Metazoa; Chordata; Amphibia; Anura; Pipidae. RNAcentral also lists the same sequence under 3 other names. The record is from RNAcentral.